This 809-nucleotide ribosomal RNA is filed under the name gut metagenome. RNAcentral's name for it is "bacterial SSU rRNA". It matches the Rfam family "Bacterial small subunit ribosomal RNA", at positions 8 to 800 of the family's 1533-position model. The record is from RNAcentral.
AGAGUUUGAUCCUGGCUCAGAUUGAACGCUGGCGGAACGCUUUACACAUGCAAGUCGAACGGUAACGCGGAGAGAAGCUUGCUUCUCCCCGGCGACGAGUGGCGAACGGGUGAGUAAUACAUCGGAACGUGUCCGCUCGUGGGGGACAACCAGCCGAAAGGUUGGCUAAUACCGCAUGAGUUCUACGGAAGAAAGAGGGGGACCCGCAAGGGCCUCUCGCGAGCGGAGCGGCCGAUGACUGAUUAGCCGGUUGGUGAGGUAACGGCUCACCAAAGCAACGAUCAGUAGCUGGUCUGAGAGGACGACCAGCCACACUGGGACUGAGACACGGCCCAGACUCCUACGGGAGGCAGCAGUGGGGAAUUUUGGACAAUGGGCGCAAGCCUGAUCCAGCUAUUCCGCGUGUGGGAUGAAGGCCCUCGGGUUGUAAACCACUUUUGUAGAGAACGAAAAGACACCUUUUAAAAAAGGGUGUUGCUGACGGUACUCUAAGAAUAAGCACCGGCUAACUACGUGCCAGCAGCCGCGGUAAUACGUAGGGUGCGAGCGUUAAUCGGAAUUACUGGGCGUAAAGGGUGCGCAGGCGGUUGAGUAAGACAGAUGUGAAAUCCCCGAGCUUAACUCGGGAAUGGCAUAUGUGACUGCUCGACUAGAGUGUGUCAGAGGGAGGUGGAAUUCCACGUGUAGCAGUGAAAUGCGUAGAUAUGUGGAAGAACACCGAUGGCGAAGGCAGCCUCCUGGGACAUAACUGACGCUCAGGCACGAAAGCGUGGGGAGCAAACAGGAUUAGAUACCCUGGUAGUCCACGC